Long non-coding RNA from Apodemus sylvaticus (European woodmouse), 2490 nucleotides. RefSeq lists it as uncharacterized. The record is from RefSeq and is a predicted model, not a curated record. The transcript has 3 exons. NCBI's taxonomy places the organism in Eukaryota, Metazoa, Chordata, Mammalia, Rodentia, Muridae.
GAGAGGAGGGGGGAGGGAGAGGGAGGACCAGAGGCCCUAGUGUACAGUGUCCCAGACCUGCCUCAAGGGCCCACUCGCCGCCACCCACUUUCUGGGGAAGAGAGGAAACGGGAAGAUUAAAGCACACCAAGAACAGGUUCCUUCUUACCAGCAACGUACAGACUUUUAAUUGCAAAGAAGUAAAAGUUCCAUUACAUGGAACCUCAAUUCACACCCACUCUCUGCGUCUCCGAGUUGUAGCGAACGGAAUUACAGCGCACACUGCACUGCACAUGGUCACCUGUGCGCCCUCGUGGCCAGGACGGGAGACAAACCAUACAACUCCAGUGCUUGGGAGGCAGAGACACGAGGAUCUCUAUGAUUUAAAGCCAGCUUGUUCUACACACACCGGGCACGCAGAGGAUCCUUUGUUGCUUGUCUCCAGGCCUCAGCUGGCUGGAGAAAGCCCACUGGCAGCCCUCAGUCCUUCCUGCACAAGUCCCUGAGGUGACUUCUAUGUAGUAGUUACGAGUGGAAAAGCCUCUGAGGAUUUCUCUUAACCGCACCCACUGGGGGUCUCAGCUGAAGCUCACACAAAUGCCUGGGCUGCUCUCUGAUCUUCUCUGCUGCACUGCAGAGCAGCCUGGGACUUUGGGGCUUCCCAGGUGCCCUUAAGGUCAAUACAGGCAAGGUUUUCUUAGUUUUCAAGUUUUGCAUUUAAACAUGGAGUCACACAGGGGAAGAACACAGGGUAACUCCCAGGCUGAGACAGUGACCCUGCACUUCACCUCUAGGCCUCCUCAGAGCCCCAGUGGUAGCAACCCCAUUUCAGCAGGCUCUGGGGGCCCAAGCCCGUGUGUGUGUGUGUGUGUGUGUGUGUGUGUGUGUGUGUGUGUGUGUGAGACCCGGCUCUGCAUGCAUGAGGGGAAGAGCCCUGGAAGCUCAGGGCUGACCUCUGCUUGAUCCUCUUGACGUACAACCUCUGAAAUCCUAACUGCUUAGCAGUGGGACUUUCAUGUGUACAAAGGCUUGUUUCUCCUCCGAGGGCCACACAAAGGGUCCAUUCUUUCGGGGGUGGGGGUGGGGGGAAGCUCCCCAGGUGCAGUUCCGACUUGAGCCUGAAGAGGCUCCGAGCCCUUCCACGCUGAGCUUUGUGAAGGCUUGCCUUUCACAAACCACAACCACCCCAGCCACCUCCCAGCACCCUCUUUGGUUAACCGCACUCAUGCUCCCCACUGCUGUUAUGAGAUGCAAGGGAAUGAGGGCUGGGAAGAGGUACAAGGCCCCUCCAAGGGCAGAGAGGACCCCAAGGGGGUCACGACUUCCACCCCACUGGCCUUCACCCCACUGGCCAUCUUGGCCUCUAGACCUGUGCAGCCCUCUGACUUCUGCAGUUUGGAGCCAGAGGCCACUCAAUGUUUUUGGUCCAUCUUUAUGAGGGACGAGUACCUAGUCACGUCAAUAAAGGAUGAGUAAGAAGGGAGAUGGGCCUGGGUGCAAUGGUGUCUUUACUUUUCAGCACUGGGGACACAGGUGCAUCUGUGAGUUUGAGGCCAAUCUGAAUCUACACGAGUUCGAGGCUAGCCAGAGCCACACAUCAAGAUCCUGUCUAAAAAGGAACAAAACAAAACCAGAGGGCAGACCAUUCUUAUUUGCACUGUUUGAUAAGGACACCCCAAAAGCACACCACGGAGGAGCAGUCAGUGCGGCAGAAUACUAGUUAGGACACCCCCACAUCUUGACUAAACCAACAUCUCACCUUGUCUUGGUACAAAAAAACAAAACAAAACAAAACAAAACAAAACAAAACAAAAAAACCCCAAACCAGCAGGGCAGAGGGCCAUGAGGCGAGCUGCACACCCGACAGCAAACACUUGGGCUCUGCUGCUCCUCCUUGACCAUUUACAUCAGCUUUGAGGCUGCUGACAACUAUCUCUGUAGAAAGUCAGGCCUAAAGAUCAAACUCAGGGAGGUGCCCUCCUGUCUCCCUCCGCCAGCCAGCUAUUCUAACUCAUUCCUUCUGAAGGGGGUGGGGCGCAGCAGCAUUUGACAAAGGCCUUAGCAGAGAGCGCACUGGCCAGCUCGGGGGAGGCUGAACUUCUGAGAAAACAAUCUGAUGGCAGUGUGGGAGGGAACCAGGAUUUAGUAAGACUUGAACUGUAACCCAGUCUCCAGCAUCCAUCGUAAAAACUCAGGAGCCAUGGACAUCGUGUAAGACACGCACUGUCCUUCUCCUUUUCGAGAUGCUGAUGACUUCACUCAGGGCUCACACAGUGUCAGGGAAGCACUCUAUCUCUGAGCUACAUCCUGAGAUUAAGGUGGGGGAGUGGUGGGCGGUGUUGAGACAGGGUCUCACUAUGUAACACCCGGCAGACCAGGAACUCACUAUGGAGACCAGGUUAGCCUAGAACUCAUAAAGAUAUGCAACUGCCUCCCAAGUACUGGGGUUAAAGGUGUGCACCAGGACACCUGGUGCCAGCAGGCGCCUUUAACCACGCAGUUCCAGCUAUC